Molecule: transfer RNA, 68 nt
Filed under: Marmota monax (woodchuck)
Lineage: Eukaryota; Metazoa; Chordata; Mammalia; Rodentia; Sciuridae
Description: tRNA.Ala
Rfam family: tRNA (bases 5-65)
About the family: Transfer RNA (tRNA) molecules are approximately 80 nucleotides in length.
Source: RNAcentral
GGUUUGUGGCUCAGUGGUAGAGCACUUGCCUAGCAUGUGUGAGGCACUGGGUUCAAUCCUCAGCACCA